UUCCGGUUGAUCCCGCCGGACCUGACUGCUAUCGGAUUGAUACUAAGCCAUGCGAGUCUUUGUAGUAAUGCAAGGCAGACGGCUCAGUAACACGUAGUCAACCUACCCUAUGGAUGAGAAUAAUCUCGGGAAACUGAGGAUAAUACUCAAUAGAUCAUGAUGCCUGGAAUGGUUUAUGAUUAAAAUGAUUCGUCGCCAUAGGAUGGGACUGCGACCUAUCAGCUUGUUGGUGAGGUAAUGGCCCACCAAGGCGAUUACAGGUACGGGCUCUGAGAGGAGAAGCCCGGAGAUGGGUACUGAGACAAGGACCCAGGCCCUAUGGGGCGCAGCAGGCGAGAAAACUUUGCAAUGUGCGAAAGCACGACAAGGUUAAUCCGAGUGAUUUCUGCUAAAGAAAUCUUUUGUUAGUCAUAAAACCACUGACGAAUAAGGGGUGGGCAAGUUCUGGUGUCAGCCGCCGCGGUAAAACCAGCACCUCAAGUGGUCAGGAGAAUUAUUGGGCCUAAAGCAUCCGUAGCCUGUUCUCUAAGUUUUUGGUUAAAUCUAUGUGCUCAACGCAUAGGCCGCCGAAAAUACUGAAGAGCUAGGGAGUGGGAGAGGUAGACGGUACUCGAUAGGAAGGGGUAAAAUCUUUUGAUCUAUCGAUGACCACCUGUGGCGAAGGCGGUCUACCAGAACACGUUCGACGGUGAGGGAUGAAAGCUGGGGGAGCAAACCGGAUUAGAUACCCGGGUAGUCCCAGCUGUAAACGAUGCAGACUAGAUGAUGCAUUGGCAUAUAGCCAGUGCAGUAUCUCAGGGAAGCCGUUAAGUCUGCCGCCUGGGAAGUACGUACGCAAGUAUGAAACUUAAAGGAAUUGGCGGGGGAGCACCACAAGGGGUGAAGCCUGCGGUUCAAUUGGAUUCAACGCCGG
RNAcentral lists this ribosomal RNA (913 nucleotides) under uncultured archaeon. Its description in RNAcentral is "bacterial SSU rRNA". It matches the Rfam family "Archaeal small subunit ribosomal RNA", at positions 1 to 921 of the family's 1478-position model. The record is from RNAcentral.